Long non-coding RNA from Zingiber officinale, 919 nucleotides. RefSeq lists it as uncharacterized. NCBI's taxonomy places the organism in Eukaryota, Viridiplantae, Streptophyta, Magnoliopsida, Zingiberales, Zingiberaceae. The transcript is spliced from 3 exons. The record is from RefSeq and is a predicted model, not a curated record.
CCGAUCCCGACCCGACCUUUCCCCUCUCUGCCGACGCGAACCUCCCUUCCUUCUCUGUUCUCUCUCGCGGACAAGCGACGGCGACGGGAGCAAGGGUCCAGCUCCGGCGAUCGUCGAUCUCGACCCAGGGGAGCAGUCGCUAGCGCAGAUCCGGACGUGGGUGAUUUUCUCCAGCCCUAGCCGAGUCUGCCGAUCCUUUUCUUCCCCGAUCGACAUCACUGGAUUGAGUCGUGCCGCCCGAUCGCCGGCGUGGAAGAGCAAUUAGGGCUUCAAAGGAGGCGAGGUCCUGUUCUGUGAAGGCGAUCUUGGAUUCCCUCUGUGUCGCUGCUGAUUGAGGUCUCGGGUGAAUUGGGAAAGAACUCCAGCAGAGGUUGCUGUGAGUUUUCUGAUCCAGCAAGGUGAAGAUCUGUUUUGGUUCUUGCUGUGGUGUUUUUGGUUUCGGCAGACACCUCAUCCAGCCAGCUCAGUUUGGAUCGGCAGUCAUCCAUACCUCAGUGUACUUGAUACAGCACCUAGUUCAGCUGGGAAUUGAGGUAUGUGUAGGGAUUUUGAUACAUGUGUAGUGUUGAUUUAGGGUUAGGUUUGAAAUGAAUUGUGGUUGGAACAUGUUAUAGAUUAUGUGUUAGAUGAUUAGGUAUGAUCUUGAUACCUAUUGAUAAUUAAUUAUCAUUAGGUUGUGUAGAUUAAUUAGGUUAUAUGGAUUUAGGUUUGAUUUGCUAAUCUAGUGGUCGAUUAGGGAUUAGGAAACUAUCCUUAGUCAACCGUUAGAAAGGUUGUGGGAUAUGGUUUAGGGUUGUUCCUAAAUUUCUACUUAAGCUUUAUUUAGCUAUUUGUUAGUAUUCUAGCUAAAUAAAAGGUAAAUGUAUUUACACAGGACUCUGAUUCGAGACGAGCAUCUCGAUAUUGGAUUAGGACCGGA